GGUCGAUUAGCUCAGUUGGUUAGAGCGUGGUGCUAAUACGAGUUGUGCCUCCUGGUAGCUCGGUUACGCCAAGGUCGCGAGUUCGAGACUCGUAUUGACCA
Molecule: transfer RNA, 101 nt
Filed under: Thelephora ganbajun
Lineage: Eukaryota; Fungi; Basidiomycota; Agaricomycetes; Thelephorales; Thelephoraceae
Description: tRNA-Ile
Rfam family: tRNA
About the family: Transfer RNA (tRNA) molecules are approximately 80 nucleotides in length. Their secondary structure includes four short double-helical elements and three loops (D, anti-codon, and T loops).
Source: RNAcentral